CACGUAGGGCGCAAGCGUUGUCCGGAAUUAUUGGGCGUAAAGAGCUCGUAGGCGGUCUGUUACGUCUGCUGUGAAAACCCAGGGCUUAACCCUGGGCUUGCAGUGGAUACGGGCAGACUAGAGGCAGGUAGGGGAGAAUGGAAUUCCCGGUGUAGCGGUGAAAUGCGCAGAUAUCGGGAGGAACACCGGUGGCGAAGGCGGUUCUCUGGGCCUGACCUGACGCUGAGGAGCGAAAGCGUGGGGGAGCGAACAGG
Molecule: ribosomal RNA, 254 nt
Filed under: uncultured bacterium
Lineage: Bacteria
Description: partial 16S ribosomal RNA
Rfam family: Bacterial small subunit ribosomal RNA
Source: RNAcentral